GAUGAAGAACGCAGCGAAAUGCGAUAAGUAAUGCGAAUUGCAGAAUUCCAGUGAGUCAUCGAAUCUUUGAACGCACAUUGCGCCCUUUGGUAUUCCGAAGGGCAUGCCUGUUCGAGCGUCAUUAUCACCCCUCAAGCUCUGCUUGGUCUUGGCCCGCGCCGGCAACGGCGGGCCUCAAAAACAGUGGCGGCGCCAUCUGGUCCCUCAGCGUAGUAAUUCUUCUCGCUGCUGGGCCCCGGUGGUCGCUUGCCAGCAACCCCAAACUUUCUAUGGUUGACCUCGGAUCAGGUAGGGAUACCCGCUGAACUUAAGCAUAUCAAUAAGCGGAGGA
This 331-nucleotide unclassified non-coding RNA is filed under the name soil metagenome. Its description in RNAcentral is "partial contains 5.8S ribosomal RNA, internal transcribed spacer 2, and large subunit ribosomal RNA". The stretch from base 1 to 121 matches the Rfam family "5.8S ribosomal RNA", at positions 35 to 154 of the family's 154-position model. The record is from RNAcentral.